UUACCCUUCGGGCUCCUAGAACUUGGUAAACGACCUCGCGGGCACUGCCUUACACGAUGCAAGGUCAACGGUAACAGGAGCUUGCUCCGCUGACGAGUGGCGAACGGGUGAGUAAUAUAUCGGAACGUGCCUGGAUGGGGGAGUAACUAAUCGAAAGAUUAGCUAAUACCGCAUACGAUCUAAGGAUGAAAUGGGGGAUCGCAAGACCUCAUUGCUCGUGGAGCGGCCGAUAUCUGAUUAGCUAGUUGGUGGGUAAAAGCCUACCAAGGCAUCGAUCAGUAGCUGGUCUGAGAGGACGACCAGCCACACUGGGACUGAGACACGGCCCAGACUCCUACGGGAGGCAGCAGUGGGGAAUUUUGGACAAUGGGCGCAAGCCUGAUCCAGCAAUGCCGCGUGAGUGAAGAAGGCCUUCGGGUUGUAAAGCUCUUUUGUCAGGGAAGAAACGGGCGAGGUUAAUACCUUUGCCUAAUGACGGUACCUGAAGAAUAAGCACCGGCUAACUACGUG
Molecule: ribosomal RNA, 510 nt
Filed under: uncultured Oxalobacteraceae bacterium
Lineage: Bacteria; Pseudomonadati; Pseudomonadota; Betaproteobacteria; Burkholderiales; Oxalobacteraceae
Description: bacterial SSU rRNA
Rfam family: Bacterial small subunit ribosomal RNA
Source: RNAcentral